This 8656-nucleotide long non-coding RNA is filed under the name Homo sapiens (human). RNAcentral describes it as "non-protein coding LINC01481:3". The record is from RNAcentral. Lineage: Eukaryota; Metazoa; Chordata; Mammalia; Primates; Hominidae.
CCUUCCUGGUGCGGUGGCAGAGGCGGCAUCGCAGUUGCAUUCCUUCUCCCUCCACCAUGCACAGCCUUCGGUAUCCCAGGGCCUGCAGGAUCCUGACACCCGUUAGCCAGUCCAGUGUCUCCCAUCUGACACUUGCAAACACACUAACAGAAAUACACAUAACUGGCAGAUGAUAUACGUGUAUUGAGAGAAGGUAAGAAGCCACAGACAGCACCAGCUGCCGGGAAGGCGGCAGAGCCGUCUAAAGCGGGCUCGAGCUCGUCGGCCACGGCCACGGCCGCUGCCGCCUUCUCUUCUCCCCCAGGAAGCAGCGCGGCGGCAGCGGCUCCUCCGCGCUGGCGGGAGCCUAGGGGAGUGGAGUCUGGGGAAGCCCCACCACUCGCGGAUGGGACCGGGCCUAGGAUCUGGAGCUGCUGCUGCUGCAGCGGCCCGAGUACAGCGACGCUUUACGUCCGGUCCACCACCACCCCCAUACACACCCCCUCCCUCCCUCCACCGCCGCCACCCCCCUCCCCGCCCGCUCCGCUCUCCGUCUCUCGAUUGGAGCCGAGACAAAAGCAACGGGAAGCGGUGGGCCGGGACGCUACCGGCGGACCCUGGGCGCGACCGGACCGGCCCCGGGGCAUUCCCCCGCCUUGCGGGGGCCCCGAAUCUGCCGCCCCCGCCGCGCGCCCCGCUGCCAGACUUCCGAAAAUUUACCAAAAACUCACCGCAUGAAUUUUCUUGUCCCGCGGAUCCAAGAUGGCGACGUAUCCACCGCGGAGGCUGCUGGGAGCAAGACCUUUACCCUCUGACCGCCGCCGUGACCCCCGUCGCUCCGGCUUCCCUCCAGGCGGCAGCGGAAGGUGGGAGCGACGACUGCAAAACGGCAGCGAUGGGCUCCCGCAACCUCCGGAGCUUGUGCGCGUACUUCAGGGACCGGCACCACGUCACCGUCACCUCCUGAGUAGUGAGUUCCCCUCUGAUGAAACCACUGGUGUGUUUACUCACCAUCCCCACCAUUUUUUUUUCCCCAACCUGAUGGAAGGAAGUACAUAAUGGAGAGCAAGUUUUUAAAGCACGGUCGUGUCGUGUGAACUUGCUCUAGCCAAAUUAGGUUUAUAGCACUUUUUUUGGCUCUCAUUACCUCCAGUCCCCACAUAAACAAGAGUGACCAGCUGGGUCAUCCGCAAGACCGUUUGAAAUUAUUGUGGCUUGGGUGGAAACUUAAAGGAGUGAAGUAUCUGCUUUCCAGAAAAAUCGUUGUCAUUCAAAGUGAAAUUAAACUUGUUUUCUUUGCAAUAAUUCGCCUUUAUUUCCUUGUAUAUCUGUAAACUCUUCACUUUUUUGUAAUUACUAGACAAUUCGGACUUAAAAAGAGCCUCAGCAUGUGUAUUUUGGAAUUGUGUAGCUUCAUAAUGUGAAAAUUAUUCUUUUCUAUUUGAGUAAAGUACAGUUAAUUUGAAGUAAAUAAAAUUUCUAUUUCCAUUGGUUGUUUCUUUUAAAAAGUCACCUUUUACUUACAAAAGAAUCACUGUAAUCCAGUUUACAUUUAUCAUUGAAGGUCAAAAGCAAGAAAUAGGAAGAAACACAAGCAUACUAUAAAAUAAAAGGUAACUGUCAUGUUUUUGAAGGUAAGGUGUUUUGACAUAUCAGCAGACAUUGUGUGAAUUUAUUUCAACUCCUAGUGGUACUGGUGUAGGUAGAAAAUGUUUUGCUUGGUUAUUCAUUUCAUCAAACACUCUACUUCACUGUUUUUUUUUCACUUCAGGAAAAUUCGAGGAGGAACAACACAUACUAGUGUCUUUCCUUUCUUUCUCCCCGUCUUCUGCAAAUAGUCCCUUCCUCUUCCUGCUUUCUCCUCCUUCUCAUGUUAACAUCUUCAACCAUAAGAUGGUGUGUUAAAAGAUUGAAUAUACCUCUAUGGAAUGACUUCCAGAGGGUGUAAGUCUGAUAUGAGAGUUUUAUUACCUUGAGUAUUUUACUGGAAGAGAUAGAACAACAAACAUUUUCAUAAUAAAUGUGUGGGUUAGGAGUGUUAGGAGAAAAUACACUGAUACUAUUACUUUCAAUAUUUGAUACUACUUACUUUGACUCUCACUGAACACCUAUUUGUUUAGGAUGAAUUCACUUUAAGCCGGGUUGAAGAACAAGCCUUUAAUUGUCCUAUUAUUUGUGCCAAAUCUAUUAUAAAUUUGUUAAAAAAUUUUUAAUACCUACCUUAGAGGGUACUCUAGGUAUUUAAUGAGCUAGCAUUUGUUAAAGGCUUGUAUAGUAAGAAUUCUUAUAGUAAGAGUUCUUACCAAUAGAUGGUAUAUUUUUUAAAUUGUCCUGUUGCAUCAAAAAGUUCAUCUUUAUUGGUAAUGUUGAUUAAGUUUGCCCAUUUGGUAGUUUGGUUUCUUUUAACUAUCUUACUAGAUUUUCUUACUUUUACCUGAAAAGUAGUCCUUACUAAUAGGCACAUGUUUUGUAUAUUUCCAAAAUAUGUAUUAUGUUAAAUUCUCUGUACACUUUAUUUAAAAAUUACAGACGUUGAGGGAAAAAAAAUACCCUAUUAAGGGAAGAAUGAGUUUGUGUAUAACUUGUAGAAGAAGGAGGCCACCCAUUUUUAGAAAAAUAUGGAUGGUAUUGAAAAUUUUGCCAUGGCAAGGGAUAAAAAGGACAGGCUUCUCUAAUGUGUCUGAAACAACAUUUGAAUCCCCUUUGUUCAUUCCCUAAAUCUGCUGCUCCUUUAGAAUUCCUGAUUUUCAUAAAUAGUACCACCAUUCACUUAUUUGCUCAGGCAUAAAACUUGGAAUUUUCUGAUUCUUCACACUCAUACAACUCAUCAGACAGUACCAUCAGUUCUUCCUGACAAAUACAUUCUGAAUUUAGCUACUUAUCACUUCCACUGGUACAACCCUUGGGAGCCACCAUCAUCUGUUGCUGGACCACAGCAAUAACCACACUAGUUGCUAUCACUUUCUAUCUGUACCCUCAUGAAUAUUUUCCCAUUUAAACCAUUCUCUAUAUACCAACCAAAGCAAUCACUUAAAAAAUGUUAUUAGGUUAUGUCACUCCCUUGUUUAAAACCCUCCAAUAGCUUCCUUAUGCACACAGAAUGAAAUCGGAAUUCCUUACCAUAGCCUUCAAGACUGCAUAAUCUGGCUCCUGCCCACUUCUCCAUCUUCCCAGGAAGCAGCACAGGAAGUUGUUCUCACCCUUCUUACUGCCUCCUUUCUGUCGUGGGCUGUGCUUUUUCUAGUCUGUAGCAGAGUCUGUUAGUUGUCCCCAAAAAUUCCUCCAUUUUUUUCAUAGUAAUAGACAUGGAUACAUGGCUACCCAGAACAAAGACUAUAUUUUGCAGCCUUCCUUGUAGCCAUGUAAUAGUGCUGGCUGAUGGGAUGUAAGCAGUAUAUCAUGUGGCACACUUGUAAAACCAUCCUUAAAAGAUAGUUGGUGCACACCUUCAAUGCGGCUUUUCCUUUAUCCUGUACCGUGGAAUAUAGAUGUGAUGGCUUAGAACUGUAGCUGCCAAUUUGUGCCUCAUGCAAGUUCUCUCAUUCUAGGGAUGGCAAAACUAAACUGGUGGAAACCAGGGUCUGUGAGAACUUUAUGGAUCAGAGCACCAUGCUAGCCCUGCAGUCGUAAAUGUCUAUAUUAUUAAAGCCACUAUUUUGGAGUCUCUUGUUCUCAACUGAAUUUAAUCUUACCUGAUACUCUGUCUCAGGGCCUUUGCACUUGCUUUUUAUUUUUUAUUUAUUUAUUUUUUUUCUGCCUGGGAUGUGGUCUUCUGUCUUGGAUAUGGCUGACUCAUUCUCUUCCUUCAGGUUAACCCAAAUAUCUCUGACAGGCCUUCCCUGGCCACCGUAUCUAAAAUAGCUCACGUUCCCAUUUAUUCUCUGUCAAUCACGUGCCCCUCUAUUUUCUUAAUAGCAUUUAUAAUUUAUCAUUAUCUUGUUUAUUCACUGUUUAUUUUCUACCUCCCUUCACCCUACAAAAAUAUAAACUACACCUGUUUUUUUCCACUACUUUAUCCUUCACACAUGGUAGGCAUUAGAUAAAUGCUGUUAAAUUAGUGAGUGAAUGAAUCAACAAAAUUCUUAUCCAAGAUUAGCUAGACUUUUUAAAUAAUAAAUGAGUAAAUGUCAACAGAUAUCCUUAACACAAAAUUUGUAAAAUCCAAUCUAGGAAACAGGAAAAACAGUACUAAACUAAUAGGAUAUUCCUGACCUCCAACUUAAUAAAGAAGAUGUCUACCUUUUUCUGGGAAAUCUGUAAGGCUAGUACAAGUUAAAAAAAAAAAGACUGCACUGCAGUAUAUCCAGGGCUAAAAUUCACACUAAAAGGGGUCUGAAUUAUAAUUUACUAGACCUCAGUUUCUUCAUCUUAAAUAUGUGUAAGCUUUGAAUGGUAAUACUAUAACAGUUAAAAGUUUAAUAGUAAGCCCAACUUAUGAGUGACAAAACAUGUUAAACAUUAAUUUAGUCUUCAGGCACUAUUUUAACAAGUGGUUAUUUCUUGAUAAUACUGGCAAGGAUUCAGAGAAACAGGGCUGCUUAUAUUGCUGAGAGUGUAUGUUGGCAGCACUUUUCUAGAGUGCAGUUUGGCAAUAUGUAUCAAAAGCCUUGAGCCAUGUGCAUUUGACCCAGCGAUUCUUUUAGAAAUGUGUCAUAAGCAGGCUGGGUGCAGUGGCUCAUGCCUGUAAUCCCAGCACUUUGGGAGGCCAAGGCGGGUGGAUCACCUGAGGCCAGGAGUUUGAGACCAGCCUGGCCAACAUGGUGAAACCCCGUCUCUACUAAAUACAAACAAAUUAGCUAGGUGUGGUGGUGCACGCCUGUAGUCCCAGCUACUUGGAGGCUGAGGCAGGAGAAUCGCUUGAACCCGGAAGGCGGAGGUUGCGGUGAGCUGAGAUCAUGCCACUGCACUCCAGCUUGGGUGACAGAGCAAGACUCUGUCCAAAAGAAAAGGCCAGGCACGGUGGCUCAGAGAGCCACCUGUAAUGCCAGCACUUUGGGAGUCUGAGGUGGGGUUGGAUCACCUGAGGGCACAAGUUGAAGACCAGCCUGGCCAACAUGGUGAGACCCCAUCUCUACUAAAAAUACAAAAAUUAGCUGGGCAUGCUGGCGGGUGCCUGUAGUUUCAGCUAUUGGGAAGGCUGAGAUGGGAGAAUCACUUGAGCCCAGGAGGCAGAGGUUGUAGUGAGCCGAGAUUGUGCCACUGCAUUCCAGCCUAGGUGACAGAGCGAGACUCCGUCUCAAAAAAAAAAAAAAAAAAGAGAAAUGUAUUAUAAGCAAAUAAGGGUGUGUUUAACAAGUUAAUUGCAAGAGUAUUCUUUACUGCAUCAUUUAUUAGGAGAUUGGUUAAGCAACAUCCAUACAGUGAACAGUAUUCAGCCAUUUGAAAUGAUGUGGAGGAAAUUUUAUUGACAUGAUACAUUGUUAAGAGCAAAAGAAAAAGUUUUAAAAUACAAAUGUUUAAUUUGUAAGUCUCACAAACAUCAUCUAACGAAAUAUACACGAGGUGUUAAGUCAGCCUUGCAAACGUAACUAUUUUUUCAUUAUUUUUAUAUCAGUUACUGUUAUUGGAGCAUUUUAUAUUGACUGAGGAUCUUUAUUAAAACUUCUUCAGCCUUCUGUGAAAUCUUGUUAUGAUGGCUAUAGUGACACUAUAUAAAACACAUAACCAGAAUAUGUUUAUGCUCAAAUAUUUCAAGCAAUAUUUGAUGCUUAAAAUACCAAAGUGACAAUGAAAAUGAAAGAAAUUUGGAUAGUUCCUUAGAGUUAUUUGUUUGUGUUUCAGAUAUGAACAUAAAGUAUGUUUUUAAUAUUACCAGUUUUGAGAAUAAUAGAAUAAAUGCCUUCUCACCUUAAUAAGAUGUUCUGUUCUGACUCAGUAUUCAUUUGCCAUUUAUUUUUCAAAUGUAGCUGAAAUCUCAGUCAUGUUCCAGGCACUAUGUUUUGUCUCUGAGAGAGGAAAAACCAAACUUUUUCCCUGUUCUCAAAUACUACUCAAUACAAUACUUCUGCAACAAGAUGGGGUGGGAUAGCGGUCCCCCCUCACCCCCGCCCACAUCAAACCAUCAAUUUUCUAGCAGACAUCAGCUGGGUGUCUCAAUUCUAUUCAGUUCUGACACUAUCUACCUGGAGGCAGCAUCAGAUCGAACAGAUUGAGGGCUCGGUUCUGCAAGACUGCCCCCACCACUUCCAGUACCAGCCACAAGUAGUAGGUUGUCACCGAUACUCCUGACCAAGCUGUAAAUCAGGAUUCCCAUGAUCCCUUCCUCAGGUUCAAUUAGUUCACUAGAGUGGCUCACAGAAGUCGGAGAAACACUUUACUAGCAUUUACCCAUUUAUUAUAAAGGAUAUUACAAAGCAUACAGGUGAACAGCUGGAUGGAAGAGGAAUCUGCACACCUUUUCUCCCAUACCUUGCCCUAUGUAUAGGUAGGGAGAAGAGGUGUGGCAAUUCCAUGCCUUCUCCAGGCAGGCCAGCUUCCAGGAACCUCCUAGUGUUCAGCUAUCAGGAAGCUCUCUGAACCCUGCCUGUCCUUUUGGGCUUUUAUGGAUACUUCAUUAUGUAGGCAUGAUUGAUUACAUUAUUGGUCACUGGUGAGCAAAUAACCUUUAACCCCCUCUCCCCUCCCUGGAGGUGAGGAGCCAGGUUAAAGUUCCAACUCCCUAAUCACAUGGUUGGCUUCCCUGGCAACCAGCUCCCAUCCUGAGGCUACCCAGGAGCCCAUCAAGAGUUACCUCAUUAGAACAAAAGAUUCUCCUAUCGUCCAGGAAAUUCCAAGGGGCUUAGGAGCUCUGUCAGGAACCAAGGGUCAAAGACUGAAUAGAAUAAGAUUCUCCUAGUGCCCUUUAUCUAGAAGUUUUAGGACCUCUGGGCUAGGAAACAGAGACGAAAACUAAAACGUGCAUACAGAAGAUAGAUCUAUAUAUAUAAUAUUAUAAAUCACAUCACCUUGUCAUUUAGUUCUCAAGAAAACUAUGUGAUGUCAGAAUAAUAGUAUAAUUUUUUCCAUUUUCUUGUAUGCUACAUGUAUGUAGCAGAUAUCAUUUAAAUUGGUGAACCACAUUUCCCCCCCUUUAAAUAUCCUUGUCCAUAUAUUGAAUCUCUCUAAUACUCAUCACCUUUGGAAUUGAUCAUGGCAGUAUUAAAGGCACUUCUAUUCUGAACUGAACAUUAAAGAUGCUAUUACCCCUCCAGUGCUUUUGUGGGUCACUAUCAUCUAUAAAAAAUAUCCUAAAAGGAGAAGCCAAAUAAAUGAGGUAAUCAGUGGAAAGAAUAUAAGAUCCUUGGAAUCUAAAAAAUGGCUGUAACCAAUCAGCAUAAUAAAACCUCUAACAAUAGAAAAAUAGUUAACCACUUAGUUUAGCAUCUGCUAAAUGGCAAGCACCAUAAUUACAUGAUUUCACUCAAUCUGUGUAACAUUUCUGUGUGAUAGGUGGUAUUUGCAUUUUACAGAUGAGGAAAUGGAGGCUUUAAGAGAGGUUGCUAGAUAUAUCUAGAAAACCCCAUUGUCUCAGCCCAAAAUCUCCUUAAGCUGAUAGGCAACUUGCGCAAAGUCUCAGGAUACAAGAUCAAUGUGCAAAAAUCACAAGCAUUCUUAUACACCAAUAACAGAGAGCCAAAUCAUGAGUGAACUCCCAUUCACAAUUGCUUCAAAGAGAAUAAAAUACCUAGGAAUCCAACUUACAAGGGAUGUGAAGGACCUCUUCAAGGAGAACUACAAACCACUGCUCAAUGAAAUAAAAGAGGAUACAAACAAAUGGAAGAACAUUCCAUGCUCAUACGUAGGAAGAAUCAAUAUCGUGAAAAUGGCCAUACUGCCCAAGGUAACUUAUAGAUUCAGUGCCAUCCCCAUCAAGCUACCAAUGACUUUCUUCACAGAAUUGGAAAAAACUACUUUAAAGUUCAUAUGGAACCAAAAAAAGAGCCCACAUCGCCAAGUCAAUCCUAAGCCAAAAGAACAAAGCUGGAGGCAUCAAGCUACCUGACUUCAAACUAUGCUACAAGGCUACAGUAACCAAAACAGCAUGGUACUGGUACCAAAACAGAGAUGUAGACCAAUGGAACAGAACAGAGCCCUCAGAAAUAAUGCUGCAUAUCUACAACCAUCUGAUCUUUGACAAACCUGACAAAAACAAGCAAUGGGGAAAGGAUUCCCUAUUUAAUAAAUGGUGCUGGGAAAACUGGCUAGCCAUAUGUUGAAAGCUGAAACUGGAUCACUUCCUUACACCUUAUACAAAAAUUAAUUCAAGAUAGAUUAAAGACUUAAACGUUAGACCUAAAACCAUAAAAACCCUAGAAGAAAACCGAGGCAAUACUAUUCAGGACAUAGGCAUGGGCAAGGACUUCAUGUCUAAAACACCAAAAGCAAUGGCAACAAAAGCCAAAAUUGACAAAUGGGAUCUAAUUAAAGAGCUUCUGCACAGCAAAAGAAACUACCAUCAGAGUGAAAAGGCAACCGACAGAAUAGGAGAAAAUCUACUGCAAUCUACUCAUCUGACAAAGGGCUACAAUGAACUACAAUGUAGAUCCAGAAUCUACAAUGAACUCAAACAAAUUUACAAGAAAAAAACAACCCCAUCAAAAAGUGGGCAAAGGAUAUGAACAGACACUUCUCAAAAGAAGACAUUUAUGCAGCCAAAAGACACGUGAAAAAAUGCUUAUCAUCACUGGCCAUCAGAGAA